AACGAACGCUGGCGGCAUGCCUAACACAUGCAAGUCGAACGAGACCUUCGGGUCUAGGGGCGCACGGGUGCGUAACGCGUGGGAACCUGCCCUUAGGUUCGGAAUAACUCCCCGAAAGGGGUGCUAAUACCGGAUAAUGUCUUCGGACCAAAGAUUUAUCGCCUUUGGAUGGGCCCGCGUUGGAUUAGCUAGUUGGUAGGGUAAAAGCCUACCAAGGCGACGAUCCAUAGCUGGGCUGAGAGGAUGAUCAGCCACCCUGGGACUGAGACACGGCCCAGACUCCUACGGGAGGCAGCAGUGGGGAAUAUUGGACAAUGGGCGAAAGCCUGAUCCAGCAAUGCCGCGUGAGUGAUGAAGGCCUUAGGGUUGUAAAGCUCUUUUACCCGGGAUGAUAAUGACAGUACCGGGAGAAUAAGCUCCGGCUAACUCCGUG
This 433-nucleotide ribosomal RNA is filed under the name uncultured bacterium. RNAcentral's name for it is "partial 16S ribosomal RNA". It matches the Rfam family "Bacterial small subunit ribosomal RNA", at positions 29 to 507 of the family's 1533-position model. The record is from RNAcentral.